AGCAGCCGCGGUAAUUCCAGCUCCAAUAGCGUAUAUUAAAGUUGUUGCAGUUAAAAAGCUCGUAGUUGAAUUUCGGGAUUGACACAUCGGUCGUGCCUUAAGGGGUAUGAACUGGUGUAGUCAAUUUCUCACCUUCUGGAGAACCGCGAUGCCCUUAAUUGGGUGUCACGGGGAACCAGGACCUUUACUUUGAAAAAAUUAGAGUGUUUAAAGCAGGCAUUUUGCUUGAAUACAUUAGCAUGGAAUAAUAAAAUAGGACGGCAUGAUUCUAUUUUGUUGGUUUCUAGGAUCACCGUAAUGAUUAAUAGGGAUAGUUGGGGGCAUUAGUAUUCAAUUGUCAGAGGUGAAAUUCUUGGAUUUAUGAAAACUACUACUGCGAAAGCAUUUGACCAAGGAUUGUUUUCAUUAAUACAAGAACGAAAGUUAGGGAUCGAAGACGAUCAGAUACGUCGUAGUCUUAACCAUAAACU
RNAcentral lists this ribosomal RNA (470 nucleotides) under uncultured Entrophospora. Its description in RNAcentral is "SSU rRNA". It matches the Rfam family "Eukaryotic small subunit ribosomal RNA", at positions 569 to 1038 of the family's 1831-position model. The record is from RNAcentral. Lineage: Eukaryota; Fungi; Glomeromycota; Glomeromycetes; Entrophosporales; Entrophosporaceae.